CACCUUGGUGGAGGAGGUGAUGACCAAGUUGUCUGAGCUCUCGUACUGACUGGACACUCCGUAGAAGAAGCUGCUGUCUUCCUGCACGUUGAUGCUCAGGUCCGCCUGACAGGAGAGGAGAGGACAGUCUUCAUCCAGGACUGGGACCUCCCCCAAGACUGGGACCUCCCCCAGGCUGCCAGGGAAUUCAUCCAAUGAGGAAGAGCGAGACACAAAUGGCAGAUGAGAUCAGAAAAUCCAAAAUGGCACUGCUGAGACAGGGAAGGAAGCUGACGGGAACAAGUGUGUACAUGAAUGAGCAUCUCACAAAACGUAAUGCUGGAAUCGCCAAGAAAGCACGCGACUUGAGAAAACAGGGAAAAAUCCAGGGAACUUGGAGCGCCAACUGUAUAAUCUACAUCAAGCUGAAUGGAGGUCCAGAAGCAAGAGUACUUGCUGUCCAUGACAUCAAGGACCUGGACAAUUUUUAAAGUUUACAAUAGCAGAAGCUUGUAUGCAAACUACAACAAUAUUAAGAACUUUUUGGAACACAUCAAGGAACCCUUCAAAGUCAUUGCUGUCACAGAAACAUGGAUUGAUGAUAAAAAAGGAAUAGAUUUUGAUCUGGAAGGAUAUGAACUAAACUACAUCAACAGAAGCAACAAAAAUGGAGGAGGAGUAGCUGUGUACGUGAUGAAGAACCUGAACUACAAAGUGGUAAAAAACAUGUCAUUUGCUAUAGAUAAUAUCUUAGAAUGUAUAACCAUUGAAAUAUGUCAGGGAAAAAGCAAAAUCAUAUUCAUCAGUUGUAUAUAUAGAUCACCUAAGUCAAGUAUAGAAACAUUUUUGUGAUUACUUAUGGAGUAUAUUGUGAAUAAAUUGAGAAC
Entelurus aequoreus (snake pipefish) is the source of this 866-nucleotide long non-coding RNA. RefSeq lists it as uncharacterized. The transcript is spliced from 3 exons. NCBI's taxonomy places the organism in Eukaryota, Metazoa, Chordata, Actinopteri, Syngnathiformes, Syngnathidae. The record is from RefSeq and is a predicted model, not a curated record.